GUGUUACGCAGCACGUUUGAGCUUUCGCAAGAACCGAUGAGGUUCAUUCUUGUGUUAUGCAGCACGUUUGAGCUUCUGCAAGAACCAAUGAGGUUCGUUCUCGUGUUACGCAGCACGUUUGAGCUUCCGUAAGAACCAAUGAGGUUCGUUCUCAUGUUACGCAGCACGUUUGAGCUUCCGUAAGAACCGAUGAGGUUUAUUCUUGUGUUACGCAGCACGUUUGAGCUUCCGCAAGAACCGAUGAGGUUUGUUCUCACACGUCAUGCAGGUUCGUUUGAGCUUCUGUUUAUGUUCGCUGAUCAAUGUUUAUGUGUGAAUAAAAGCCUAAAUUAAAUCUUUCUAUCAUAUAAAGCAUUCGAGUCUCUUUAGAAAAUUUUGACUAAACUGUUCAUUUCAUAUAGUUUUACGACCUCUUUAUGAACUUUUUGAAGGGACAGAAAGCUCUCAGAUUUCAUCAAAAAGAUCUUUAUUUGUGUUCCAAAGAUGAAUGAAAGUCUUACAGGUUUGGAACGACAUGAGGGUGAGUAAAUAAUGACAGAAUUUUCAUUUUUUAGGUGAACUAUCCUUUUAAGGUAACAAUUGCACUUUUUACAGCGUGCAACUGUGCUAUUCUGAACAUCCUCAUGGUUUUUAUUUCGUUUUAGGUUUAUUUUUGACGUUUGCGAUCUUUGACUGCAUUUGAUGUACACUACACAAGUCAUUUUUGACACAUGAUGUCUAUAUUUGUUAGGCUGUCAUGAUGGCGACAUAAUACUAAAUGCACUUGUAAUGUCUGUGCCAGGGUAUUUAGAUGUCAAUCACCCCUGUAUGACACCACCAGCUCAUAAAUAUGCAGGCAAGUUAUUUAACGCCCUUCAAGACUGCUAAUGUCUUUACAGGCUUCUAUUCCAUGGAUUCCGGUUAUAGAGAUGCUUUAUUCCCAGAGGAGCUCUGAGCUUCUCCCACUGAUGCUUAUGAUGCUCUAAAUUAGGACAAAUCUCGUUAAUACUUCUUUACCAAAUUCAGCCCACCCAUAUUAGAACCAUCCUCCCCUUGGGUGCGACUCCAACCCACACAGAGGCACAUAAUUUGUUGUAUAGCUGAAAAAGACACACUCUUCUUAAAAACCCUAAAAUAGAGGUUCUGAAUCAGGCGCGGCACUUAGAAGAGCGUCAUAUUCAGGCGAGACGGUGUGAAUGAAAGACGUUAGUGAGGGAAAGGGGUAGAAGAAGUAAUAUCGAGUUCAGACACUAGUCCAUCCAUUCUCAGGACCAGAAGCGAGGUAAUUAGGACUGCUGGGAGGGACAGAGCGCUACUCUCCUUCUCAGCAGGUCUUUUUUUUUUCCUGAAAUGAUUUAUCUGGUAGGAGAAAAUGCUGGAAGUGUUAGUCGGUGGAAAUACGGAGAGUUUGAUUCUCUGGACCUGAGCCUCAUGCAUAAAACUUCACUUUGUUUUCCAUGCAUAUCAAAAGUUUGUGCAUGCAGAAACAGCAGAAUAUAUGCAUAUGGAUGAAAUGUAUUGAUAUCAGUAUUCAGUGGUUUGCAGUUUUUGCUACUUUCUGGGGUCUUGUUUUAAAACACUGAUAAUUCAUUAUGCAACUGUGAAAGAAACUGAAAUAACUGGAUUCUCUGUGGCAUAUUUGCACAUUUAUAUAUACAGUGCUUCAGAACCCAAUUUCUCAUUAUGAAAUUAAGUAACUAGCUGAUUAAUUAAUAGAAAAUAAAGUACUGUUUAUUUGCAUAUGACAGACAAAACUAUUUGCAUACCACAAUUAAGAAAAAUAAACUGCACAUUCUAUAAAAAUCUCCUUAAAUUCAAACUGGUCUCACUGAAACAAAAAGCAGCACAAGUUAGGGCUGUACAAUUAAUCAAAUACAUAAUCAUGAUUACAGCUUUUGCUGAUUAGAUCUACUUCAGUGUUUUUUGCAGUAUUGUAACCAAUCACAGAUGUGCUUUUUGCACUCAUGCAUACAGUGGGGAAUUACAGGUGUUUAAAUCAGUCUAAAAGUCUAUCAGUAAUCACAACAGGUACUAAUCAACGAGUUUUAAGCAGUCUGAUGGCUGUUUUAUGUUUUCUAUUCAUGAGUGCUAAAGAAACAUCACAUGAGGCUCAAGCUGAAGCUUUAAAAUGAAAGCAGAAAACAGUGGUAAUUUGGAAUUUUUGGUUGAAAAAAAAAAUGUUGCUAAAUAUAAAAAGUGCAACUACCAACCUUCUGCCAUGUUCAGCAGUAUCAUCCAUCUAUCCAUCCAUCCAUCUAUCUCUCUGUUUAUCUAUCUCUCUAUCUAUCUAUCUAUCUAUCUAUCUAUCUAUCUAUCUAUCUAUCCCUUCGUUUCUGUCAUUCUCUAGCUCUGUCUGGUUAUGUGAUUGCGGUUCUGAGUGCUACCCAAGUCACCUUUCACUUAAAAAUUGAGGAAAAAUUCAUUCCCAUGGUGAAAUGAAAUUGCUUUCUGUGCAUGAAAGCAAACUCAUGCAGUUUAUUUCAUUAGUGGCAACUGUAGAAUUGCCUGAAUAUUACAGAUGAAUUUAGUGAAAGGUGCUUUUUGAAGUAUUCCUAACCAAGAAAAUCCUGAAGGAAUGUGUACAGGACAGUUGGAAUUUUUAUCAGAAUUUGGAACCAAUCAAAAUAGCAAUAUAUUCUAUUUACACUGAGUGACAAUAGCAGCAUUUUCUUAGCAGUAUGCUAUUUACUCUAAGUGAAAAUAGCGAUAUAUUCUAGUAUUUACGCUAUAAAAGUAGCAGUUCUUUGCAAUAAGUGCAAAUAGUUGUUAGAUGCUGUACUUAUAAAUAGUGGCAGAUACUAUUUGCACCUCAGUGUUGUUGUACAAUAACAGGAUGCAAUAAUAACAGAGUGUAAAUUAUUAUAUUUAUUAAAAUUAUUAAAUGGAUGUCGCCUUAUUGGCACAAUAAAGCCCUCCCUACACCUUCCCCUAACUCUACCCGAUAAAAAAUUUAUUAUUAAACACUCGUUAGGCACUUUAUUUCCACUUUUCAAAUAUUUUCUUAAUUUUUAUUGAAAAUAAAUGCCUUUCCGAUCUGAUAUGUGAUGGGAAAAGGGAGAAGAGCGAGUUCGGCAAAAGGCAGAUUCGGACUUGGGUCGAUCACAUCAAAAGUUACUUCCCCACGCCAUACUCUCUACUGCAGGGGUCAGCAAUUAAGUUUGGCAUCGGGCCAAAAUAAAUUUGCCACUAGAUGGCGGGCCAGAACAUAGUCAAAGGAUAAUUUAAGAAAUUAAUUGAAAAAUGCAACUAGAAUUGCCUGUGACAGACUGUAACAGUGUCUUUUGUAACUGGUAUUGAGCUCUGUGUUAAAUCCUGUAGUAGCAGUCAUUAACAAAAAGCCACAUUUGUAUGGCGCUGUCCGGGUUUUACACUGGAUAAAUUAAUAAAGCAGUAGUGACACAUAACCUGGCAAGUAUCUUCAUUCACCAACUUGCAACACAGACCGCCUUGCUAAAACACACAUGUCGGAGAUGCAGAAUGGAUAAAAAUGACUUGAAUAAGCCCAUUAAUGGCAUGUUUGAGUCAUGCUCUUAACGAACUGUUUUAUUUCCUCUUUCCAUAUUGUGAAUAAUAAAUGUGUAACAUUUUAAUUUGCUUGUUACACAAUGGAUCCUAACUUUUUGUAUUAAUCAUUGACGUAGCCUACUUUUACACUCAGAAUUAUUCCUUGGCAUCCUCACGCACUAAACUGCAUUUUUUCAAAUUGUUUGCAUGCUGGAGUUACGCUAUUAAGUCGUGUGCAGAGUGAUGUUAACAUUUAAGCUAGCUGGUGAGUGGAAAUGGCACUAUCAAACACUCUAAAAGAGGAAAGUUGUCCGCGAAAAUAGGGCAUACAAAGAAGAAUGGAAAGACAACUAUGCGUUCAUCCUACCUGUUUUGUGAGUGCAAAGCCGGUGUGAUUUAUCUGCAACAAAGUUUUCGCUGUUUUCAAAUAAUAUAACACCGACACCGGACGUGAGCGAUGCGACGCGACGCUACAAAAGAUAAUAGAACCCAUUAUUAUGAUAUUGUCUACAAUGGAUGCGGUGCAGUGCGGUACAACACAUUGCCGACGGCAAACGGAUUCCCCGUUCUAUUUCUGACAUAGUCCAAGUGCUUUGCAACGGUCGGUUUGUCGCUUUCAGUGUAGACAGCUUUUAGCUGUUGCGGCGCGUCUGGUGUAUACACGGUGAUAAUAUUAGACAGCACCAUGAGACUAAAAUCUAUUUCAGAACAAGCCGCUAUCAAAAUAAUUUGGCUGCGGGCGCGGGCCAGAUAUUAUUGCUGGCGGGUCGCCUAUUGCCGACCACUGCUCUACGGCCUUCACCACUACAGACGUUGAGUGGUGUGCAGGUUUUUUAAUCUUGUGUGGCCAAAACAGACAUUGGUGGGCGGAGUUAGUGUAAAUAGCCUUUGCCAACAAGGCAGGCUGUUUACACUUAGUGUAAAUAGACACUCCAAUAAGAGCAUGUUAAGAACUGGGGGAAAAAUAUUAUUUUAAAUAUUGUGUAUCUUUAUCAUAACUCUGCCUGUAUUGUAUUGGAAUAAUGUUUUGCUACAUUCAAUUCCUUCCAUGCCCUACAGGAACAUUUUAUCCUAUUCAGAAGGAUAAAAGAUCAGCUCGUAAACAUACUUUAUCAUUAGAAAAAAAAUGAAAUAACUCAUUAAACAUGAAAGUAUUAUGCAAUUAGUUAAGAUAAAGGUUCUUUAAAACUGAGUCAAGAAUAGAACCUAUUGAGCCUUUUUUCUAAGUGUGGAUGACCAAAAUCAUCUAAGAAGGCCUUCAGAAAAGAACAAAAGAAUCGCACAUUGUCACAAUACUCUCAAAUUAUAUUUUAAUAGUAGACAAACAACAUUUCAACCUUUUUGGUCUUUGUCAGGUUAUUAAAAAACAUUACUUGAAAACUUGAAAAUCUUUAAAUACAUACACCUGAGUUGGUGUGGACAACAAACAAUACAGUAAUUAACUGAUUAAGACACAUUGGGCUCAACAAUGGGAACACACUGUAUUUCAAAAUAAGAAUGCAUUUUAAUUGCUGUCUUGUUUGAUUUCCAUGCCUACUCAGGUGUAUGUAUUUAAAUACUUUCAAGUUUAAUGUUUUUGAACCGAAAGGUUCGAAACUUCAUUUUUCUUCUAGUUCGACAGCAUCGUGACAAUGUGCUGUUCUUUUCUUCUACAAGAAAAUUCCUAUUAGGAUUCUUAAGGAUUGUUUUUCAAUUAUAAUUGAUUCCAGUAUGAAUCUUUUAGCAUUUUUUGACUAGUGAUUAUCUUCAGUUCAGUAGUUUGUCACUUGAGCUGUUAAACCGCCAACACCAGUGACAAAAGUGCACAAACAUUCUCGAGUCACAUUUGUUUCUUAUAAAUCCUGACGUGUGUGCGAAGACUGUUUUGUGUGAAAACAACAUCUACGUGAGGCCUUUGGUCUUUAAGCCGAUGCAGAGAGACUGACUGCAAGGUAAGAGGUUGGAAGAGGGAUUUUUUGAAGAGGUUUAUAAGUGCUAUUGUUACGGAAAGCACAUAGUGUUCCCUGUCUGUCUGACAUCGGCGUUCUCUGGGGGAUUUCGUAGGCGAAGUGUGUGAGUGCCUUGACAUGGGAACUAAGGUACCACUCGAUGAAGGUAAUUCUCUCUCUCUCUCUCUGCAAUAAAUUGAGUGCAUAUAAAUAUAUAUAAGAGGAACAAUGAUCUCAUUAGUCACAUUUAGCAUGAAGAGUUAUGGCCGUGUUGUUCAGUGGCACUCCAUCCGUACUCUGGGAAAGCUGCUUCAUGUCCACAUCAGCGUUUGCCAGCUAUCUGGGCCAGUGCAUCAUCAGCAACAAUCCCAGCUGUCAGCUCUGUGCUGCUGACAAAAUGUCAACGCCAAACAUUCAUAUGCAUUUAUAUGCGCCUUUAUUUUUCCGCAGGCUAUAGCUAUUUUGAUGUCUUCUGGCUUUUUUCCCCUGCUUUUCUAAAGGAAAAGACAAUUCUGUGAUCAUUUACUCACCCUUGUGUUGUUUCUUUGUGACACCAAAUGAGAUAUUUUAAAGAAUCUCAAAGCUCUACUUUUACAUAUAAUGAAAGCAAACUUCUGAAACAUUUUUCAGAGAUCAUCAAUGUUUUAUAUACUAUACUUACAUUCACAUUCACAUCAUUAACCUUUACAUAAUUUCACCAAUAUUCCACCAAAAUAGAAGCUGGUGGAUUUGAGAUGUUAAAAGCUUGAGUGUUUGAAUGUUUGAAAGUGAACAGUUGAAGUCUUCAGAUGCAAAAGCCACUAAACGCCACCUUUGUCAAAAAUGAGAUACUAUUAUUGAGCGAAUGCUUUCCGCACAUAGUAUACGUUCAUCAAAUACUUUCGCUUCAAACUUGCUAAAUCCCAGCCUCAGCCCAUUCAGAAAUACCAGGGUCGUUAACAGAAACCGCUAAACGCCACUUCCCUUUGUCAGCAAAAGCCUUUAAGUUCACAGAAGCAAAUCGAAUCAUAUGAUUUCAAGAUGAAUGACAGCAUGCGUAUGAGCCGGCUUUCAAUCGUCAGGAUGCAAGUUUUUAUCCUGUUUAAAGAGAUUUUUAACUGAUGAGGAGUAUGAUGAAAUGGAUGAACCUGUGGUAGUUUCAGUCACUGGCAAAAAGAAGCAUCAUCAACCUCAUAAUUCUGCCCAUUCUAAGGCUAAAGAAAAAAUGCUACAGUGGCAAUGACAGGAUUUUGCGAGUAGCAUGUAAACACAACAGUGUUUUGUGUGCUGCUGUAACUCUGACAGAAACGGACAUAACUUUAUCUUAAGUGAUUUUGCAACUGUUUACUAUAUGUCUUGUCCGAAGAGGUGGACUUUUUUUCAAAGCUACAUAUGAGAGUUUGUUUUUUGCAAAGAAAAUGCGGUGCGUUGUUUUAUUAUUUUAUAAUGUUUCCUGGGGUGCACUUAUGAUGUUAGUAUGCGUUUUACAUCAAAAAUUGUCAUAAUUUAGCAAUAAAAGGCAUUUUUCCUACCCUGAUUUUAGCCCUCUGAUUUGAACGCUCUGU
Molecule: long non-coding RNA, 6955 nt
Organism: Ctenopharyngodon idella (grass carp)
Lineage: Eukaryota; Metazoa; Chordata; Actinopteri; Cypriniformes; Xenocyprididae
Exons: 3
Source: RefSeq, a predicted model, not a curated record